CACGCUCCUCCGGUCAUGGUGACGCGGACGGUUGACCUCACAAGACCGGGGUCGGCCAUGGCUACCAGCGUGAACGGCAGCGCUUCAGGUGGAUGGUGAUCAGAAGAAGCUGCAGACACAGAGAGCAGAAGAAUUAAAAUCAACGGGUAUCAAGUAAAUGCAAGAACAUGUGCUGAAGUUAAUGUCUUCUCUGGAAUUUUUGCACUUUGAGGACCACAUUCGACCCUCUGGAGGACCGCUUUUGGCCCGCGGGCCGCAUGUUGGACACCCCUGACAUAAAAGCAGAGCAAAGAGAGCCAAGUUCCCAGAAUGCAACGCCACGUCUGGACUGUAUGUUUUCCUGCGUUUGUCGACACGUCAAAUAAAC
Long non-coding RNA from Amphiprion ocellaris (clown anemonefish), 367 nucleotides. The record is from Ensembl. NCBI's taxonomy places the organism in Eukaryota, Metazoa, Chordata, Actinopteri, Pomacentridae.